RNAcentral lists this ribosomal RNA (478 nucleotides) under uncultured bacterium. RNAcentral describes it as "bacterial SSU rRNA". It matches the Rfam family "Bacterial small subunit ribosomal RNA", at positions 29 to 518 of the family's 1533-position model. The record is from RNAcentral.
ACGAACGCUGGCGGCGUGCCUAACACAUGCAAGUCGAACGGAGUUAAGGAGCUUGCUCCUAACUUAGUGGCGGACGGGUGAGUAACGCGUGAGUAACCUGCCUCUGAGAGGGGAAUAACGUUCUGAAAAGAACGCUAAUACCGCAUGACACAUAUUUGCCGCAUGACAGAUAUGUCAAAGAUUUUUAUCGCUCAGAGAUGGACUCGCGUCCGAUUAGUUAGUUGGUGAGGCAACGGCUCACCAAGACCGCGAUCGGUAGCCGGACUGAGAGGUUGAACGGCCACAUUGGGACUGAGACACGGCCCAGACUCCUACGGGAGGCAGCAGUGGGGGAUAUUGCGCAAUGGGGGCAAAACCCCCUGACGCAGCAACGCCGCGUGAAGGAUGAAGGUUUUCGGAUUGUAAACUUCUUUUCUCAGGGACGAAAUUUGACGGUACCUGAGGAAUAAGCUCCGGCUAACUACGUGCCAGCCGCAGC